AGCAAAUCUCUUAAAGCCGUUCUCAGUUCGGAUUGUAGGCUGCAACUCGCCUACAUGAAGUCGGAAUCGCUAGUAAUCGCGGAUCAGCAUGCCGCGGUGAAUACGUUCCCGGGCCUUGUACACACCGCCCGUCACACCAUGGGAGUUGGAAAUGCCCGAAGUCAGUGGCCCAACCGGAAGGGGGGAGCUGCCGAAGGCAGGUUCGAUGACUGGGGUGAAGUCGUAACAAGGUACC
RNAcentral lists this ribosomal RNA (235 nucleotides) under uncultured bacterium. RNAcentral's name for it is "partial 16S ribosomal RNA". It matches the Rfam family "Bacterial small subunit ribosomal RNA", at positions 1266 to 1500 of the family's 1533-position model. The record is from RNAcentral.